Molecule: long non-coding RNA, 286 nt
Filed under: Vigna radiata
Lineage: Eukaryota; Viridiplantae; Streptophyta; Magnoliopsida; Fabales; Fabaceae
Description: long non-coding RNA (VRAD_LNC013955)
Source: RNAcentral
CUUUCAUUAUGUUACUGUUUAUUCUGUUUGGCUUCUUUAUCUUCUUGCAUUUCCAAUUUCCUCACUUGUUUUAGAGAUCAUUUGGUCUCGAUGUAGAACCGUUCGGUCAUCUGUAGGACCGUUCGGUCUUUAUACUAUUUUCAUUCAUUUUAAUGUUUUCAAUUCUGUUUAGUUAUAUUUAAUUUUCAUGCAGUUAAUUUAGUUUAAUUCUCAUCUCAAACACUUUCAAACCCCCCCACUGUAUGUUAGACCUAAUUCUCGAGCCACAGUUUCGUCCUUGAGAGAC